UGAACUUUGAGGCUUCUGCCUGGAGAGGUU
This 30-nucleotide non-coding RNA is filed under the name Mus musculus (house mouse). The record is from RNAcentral. Lineage: Eukaryota; Metazoa; Chordata; Mammalia; Rodentia; Muridae.